AUACGUAGGGGGCGAGCGUUGUCCGAAAUGAUUGGGCGUAAAGGGCGCGUAGGCGGCCCGGUAAGUCUGGAGUGAAAGUCCUGUUUUUAAGAUGGGAAUUGCUUUGGAUACUGUCGGGCUUGAGUGCAGGAGAGGUAAGUGGAAUUCCCAGUGUAGCGGUGAAAUGCGUAGAGAUUGGGAGGAACACCAGUGGCGAAGGCGACUUACUGGACUGUAACUGACGCUGAGGCGCGAAAGUGUGGGGAGCAAACAGGAUUAGAUACCCUGGUAGUCCACACUGUAAACGAUGAAUGCUAGGUGUAGGGGGUAUCGACCCCUUCUGUGCCGCAGUCAACACAAUAAGCAUUCCGCCUGGGGAGUACGGCCGCAAGGUUGAAACUCAAAUGAAUUGACGGGG
RNAcentral lists this ribosomal RNA (397 nucleotides) under uncultured bacterium. RNAcentral describes it as "partial 16S ribosomal RNA". It matches the Rfam family "Bacterial small subunit ribosomal RNA", at positions 523 to 918 of the family's 1533-position model. The record is from RNAcentral.